GUUGGUUAGGUGUUCACGGAAGAGGUGGGUCUUUAGCUGUUUUUUGAAGAUGGUGAGAGAUUCUGCGGUCCGGAUUGAGGUUGGAAGUUCAUUCCACCGCUGAGGAACAGUUAGUUUGAAUGUUCUGGAAAGGGACCUUGAGCCGCGCUGAGUAGGUACUACUAAGUGUCAGUCAUUAAUUGAUCGCAUAUUGUGUGAAGGAACAUAAGCCUUCAGGAGAGAGUUGAGGUAGGAGGGUGCUGUUCCAGACAAGGUCGUGUAGGUGAGCAUCAAGGCUUUGAAUUUGAUGCAGGCGGCUACAGGAAGCCAGCGGAGGGAGAUGAAGAGGAGUGUGACAUGGGUUCUCUUGGGCUGGUUGAAGACAAGGCGUGCUGCAGCAUUCUGUAUCAUCUGGAGGGGUUUGAUGGAGCUGGCCGGGAGGCCCGAGAGUAGUGAGUUGCAGUAGUCCAGUUUUGAUAUGACAAGAGCCUGGACUAGUAGUUGUGUAGCCUGUUCGGUGAGGUAGGGUCUGAUUCUCUUGAUGUUGUACAGGAUGAAACUACAGGACCGUGCAGUUGUUGAGAUGUGGUCAGUAAAGGUCAAGCUGUCAUCGAGAAUCAUCCAAAGGUUCCUGGCCGUCCUGGUUGGCUUGAGUGUGGUUGAGCCGAGCUGUACAGUGAGGUUGUGGUUGAUUGAGGGGCAGGCUGGGAUGACGAGAAGCUCAGAUUUUGCCACGUUGAGCUUAAGGUAGUGUUCCCUCAUCCAGACCGAAAUGUCCGUCCGGCAAGCAGAGAUACGUGCAGAGACGGAUGGAUCCCCAGGCUGGAAGGACAAAUCGAGCUAGGUGUCAUCAGCAUAGCAGUGGUAUGAGAAGCCAUGAGACUCAAUCACCUGCCCAGAGAUGUAGUGUAGAUAGAAAAGAACUAGAAAAUUAUAUGACGAGUGCCUUACUCACUCUGAAGAGUGUAUCAAGUAUGAAAAUCUUCCUCAUUGCUAAUUUUUCCUCAUGGUUAUUAUGUUUGGCACGUCUUAAUGUGUCUCCUCGUUGUCACCUCCAGGUGAAGAUGGAAAAUUGCCGCUCCAGGGGGUCUGGCUUCGUGCACUCCUCAUCUUCCCAGGAAGCCACGAAGGCCAGGAAUCUGCACUAGACUGCGCAGACCAUCCAGCCACAACGAAACCCUAAAGAUGCUUCAUAACAUCAAUGACAGGAAUAAGAGGAAGAAGAAGAAAAGAAAAGAAAGAACAAUAAAUAAACAUUGUACUCAACAUUUGCAC
Ictalurus punctatus (channel catfish) is the source of this 1254-nucleotide long non-coding RNA. The record is from Ensembl. Lineage: Eukaryota; Metazoa; Chordata; Actinopteri; Siluriformes; Ictaluridae.